RNAcentral lists this long non-coding RNA (292 nucleotides) under Elaeis guineensis (African oil palm). RNAcentral describes it as "long non-coding RNA (EGUI_LNC060976)". Lineage: Eukaryota; Viridiplantae; Streptophyta; Magnoliopsida; Arecales; Arecaceae. The record is from RNAcentral.
CUUCAGUGGUAAGUUGCCGUACAAUUCAACUCUUUGAUCAUCCCUGCACCCUGAAUAUAUUCAUGAGUAUGGAAUUAUGUCAAACUCAAAUAUAUAUUCAUAUCGAUUCUCAAUUAAUCAAUGAUGACUCCAAUGAUGAAGCAUUAAAAAUUUUUUUAAUCUUCUUUCUACUUUUGGCCAAAAGAUAUUUUUUGAGUCAUCUAGGAAUGAGAAUAUAUAGGAUGCGAUCUCCUCUUACUAGGAGUGAUCGAUUUCAUGUUGAUCUACUUACAACCUUCAUACGCACUCCACC